This is a non-coding RNA of Cricetulus griseus (Chinese hamster), 623 nucleotides long. The record is from RefSeq and is a predicted model, not a curated record. NCBI's taxonomy places the organism in Eukaryota, Metazoa, Chordata, Mammalia, Rodentia, Cricetidae.
CACCCAAGGACAAAUACCUCAACCCUUCCCAGAGGGGUGAGUCACAGCCAAACUAAAGACCAGCUUCCCUCCCUGGCCUCUUCCCGAAACCCCGCAACUAAUGAAGGUUCUGGCAGCAGAGUGAACUGCCAGAUAGGACUCGGGCUGAUUAAUGGUGGGCCUGGCACAGGAUACAGGUUAUACUGAAAGCGACCACAAGCUCACUGAAGGAGGAGGAGGGACGGCUUCUGUCUCUAAUCCUGGUGUGAAGGGCUACAGAUGCUCUGGGGAAAAUGCUGGGGACUAGCAGACAGCUAGGAGCUCUGGAAACAGAGGCUGGAGGGCCCAUAUUGCUCACCCCAUGUGGUUAUGCUUUCGUCACAGAAGACGUCCCAAACAGAAGAAAGGAUGCUUUCACCUGGAUAGAGCUGAGGCCACAUCAGAGGAGAACAGCAGAGUCUCUUAGACUGGAGCCAGGGUCACCCCAGCUGAACCACCUCCUCUAUCUGUUCUCUGUGUGGACGGAUGAAUGGAUGGAUUAAACAGCUCGCCUUGAGACACAGUGAUGACAAGCCACCAAGCAUCCUUCCUCAGGUCAUCCAGGUACCCUCUGCUGCAGGGCUUGUCUUGGAACUCACCUCAGU